AUACGGAGGGUGCAAGCGUUAAUCGGAAUUACUGGGCGUAAAGAGCACGUAGGCGGCUUGGUCAGUCGGAUGUGAAAGCCCCGGGCUCAACCUGGUAACUGCAUUUGAUACUGUCGAGCUAGAGUUUGGUAGAGGGAAGGGGAAUUUCCGGUGUAGCGGUGAAAUGCGUAGAUAUCGGAAGGAACACCAGUGGCGAAGGCGACUUUCUGGACUGUAACUGACACUGAGGUGCGAAAGCGUGGGUAGCGAACAGGAUUAGAAACCCCAGUAGUCC
This 274-nucleotide ribosomal RNA is filed under the name uncultured bacterium. Its description in RNAcentral is "partial 16S ribosomal RNA". It matches the Rfam family "Bacterial small subunit ribosomal RNA", at positions 523 to 796 of the family's 1533-position model. The record is from RNAcentral.